AGUUUUCCUUUGGUAAAGCAAAAAGGUUCAUAGAAGCACACACCUUUUCCCUCAGCAUCCAGUUGCCGAAGAAAUGUUAGGAGAUGGCAGCAAAUAUGUAGGUUCUGCACAUGAGACUUUGGGUUGCUUGUAACCCGCCAUGUCACAGAUAGGGUGCCUGUUAGAAAUCUUCUAUGGGGGUAACCAACAAGCGACAAAUAUUCAGUCUUGAG
Triticum aestivum (bread wheat) is the source of this 212-nucleotide long non-coding RNA. RefSeq lists it as uncharacterized. NCBI's taxonomy places the organism in Eukaryota, Viridiplantae, Streptophyta, Magnoliopsida, Poales, Poaceae. The transcript has 3 exons. The record is from RefSeq and is a predicted model, not a curated record.